This 750-nucleotide ribosomal RNA is filed under the name uncultured bacterium. Its description in RNAcentral is "bacterial SSU rRNA". It matches the Rfam family "Bacterial small subunit ribosomal RNA", at positions 86 to 833 of the family's 1533-position model. The record is from RNAcentral.
CGCCGGCGACCGGCGCACGGGUGAGUAACGCGUAUGCAACUUACCUAUCAGAGGGGGAUAACCCGGCGAAAGUCGGACUAAUACCGCAUGAAGCAGGGGCCCCGCAUGGGGAUAUUUGCUAAAGAUUCAUCGCUGAUAGAUAGGCAUGCGUUCCAUUAGGCAGUUGGCGGGGUAACGGCCCACCAAACCGACGAUGGAUAGGGGUUCUGAGAGGAAGGUCCCCCACAUUGGUACUGAGACACGGACCAAACUCCUACGGGAGGCAGCAGUGAGGAAUAUUGGUCAAUGGCCGAGAGGCUGAACCAGCCAAGUCGCGUGAGGGAUGAAGGUUCUAUGGAUCGUAAACCUCUUUUAUAAGGGAAUAAAGUGCGGGACGUGUCCCGUUUUGUAUGUACCUUAUGAAUAAGGAUCGGCUAACUCCGUGCCAGCAGCCGCGGUAAUACGGAGGAUCCGAGCGUUAUCCGGAUUUAUUGGGUUUAAAGGGUGCGUAGGCGGCCUUUUAAGUCAGCGGUGAAAGUCUGUGGCUCAACCAUAGAAUUGCCGUUGAAACUGGGAGGCUUGAGUAUGUUUGAGGCAGGCGGAAUGCGUGGUGUAGCGGUGAAAUGCAUAGAUAUCACGCAGAACCCCGAUUGCGAAGGCAGCCUGCCAAGCCAUGACUGACGCUGAUGCACGAAAGCGUGGGGAUCAAACAGGAUUAGAUACCCUGGUAGUCCACGCAGUAAACGAUGAUCACUAGCUGUUUGCGAUACA